AAGUCGUAACAAGGUUUCCGUAGGUGAACCUGCGGAAGGAUCAUUAUUGAAUAAACUUGGUCAAGCUGUUGCUGGUCCCUCGGGGCAUGUGCACGCUUGCCACCAAUUUUAACCACCUGUGCACCUUUUGUAGAUUGGAAACGUUUCUCGAGGCAACUCGGAUUGAGGACUGCUGUGCGCAAGCCGGCUGUUCUUGUGUUUCUCAAUCUAUGUUUUCAUAUACUCCAAAUGUAUGUAUCAGAAUGUAUUGUUAGGCCUCUGUGCCUUUAAAUCAAAUACAACUUUCAACAACGGAUCUCUUGGCUCUC
This 308-nucleotide unclassified non-coding RNA is filed under the name Clitopilus prunulus. RNAcentral's name for it is "partial internal transcribed spacer region". The stretch from base 1 to 46 matches the Rfam family "Eukaryotic small subunit ribosomal RNA", at positions 1786 to 1831 of the family's 1831-position model. The record is from RNAcentral. Lineage: Eukaryota; Fungi; Basidiomycota; Agaricomycetes; Agaricales; Entolomataceae.